GAAAAGCCGCCGCGAAGCAAACGAUGGGAGAGUCCAUGCCACCGCUAAUCAUCGCGCUUCACCGUCUCAGCGCCCGACGCAAAAUGGACAGGCGGCCGCGGCGAAGGACGACAGACACAGUGGCCGCCUUCAUACCAUCAAUCUGCGAAAGAAGAGUCUCGAUGAUGGGCGGGUGUUACCGUCGUGCCUGUAACUGCCAAUAACCACUCGCUGUGGUCACAGGGGCAGAAGGGACCACAUAUGGAGUGUAAUAAGACCCCCUGAGAGAGGCCGCUGGAUACAGUGCCUGAAUGCAGCUGCAGCUUGUGCAGUUUCUCUCUUGGCAUUUUCCCACUGCCACCAUGAACCGAGCCGUACCCGACCCAUACUGGGAAGAGACGGUUUUCCAUUGUAAAGUAUGCAAGCUGUACCCAAGCCGCACCUGACCCAUAACCACACUGACAUGAUCCUGCUUACUAGCAGGGG
Brienomyrus brachyistius is the source of this 465-nucleotide long non-coding RNA. RefSeq lists it as uncharacterized. The transcript has 3 exons. The record is from RefSeq and is a predicted model, not a curated record. Lineage: Eukaryota; Metazoa; Chordata; Actinopteri; Osteoglossiformes; Mormyridae.